UUCUGGCUCAGGAUGAACGCUAGCGACAGGCUUAACACAUGCAAGUCGAGGGGCAGCAUAAAGUAGCAAUACUUGGUGGCGACCGGCGCACGGGUGAGUAACGCGUAUGCAACCUACCUAUCAGAGGGGAAUAACCCGGCGAAAGUCGGACUAAUACCGCAUAAAACAGGGACACCGCAUGGUGAUAUUUGUUAAAGAAAUUCGCUGAUAGAUGGGCAUGCGUUCCAUUAGGUAGUUGGUGAGGUAACGGCUCACCAAGCCGACGAUGGAUAGGGGAACUGAGAGGUUGGUCCCCCACACUGGUACUGAGACACGGACCAGACUCCUACGGGAGGCAGCAGUGAGGAAUAUUGGUCAAUGGGCGAGAGCCUGAACCAGCCAAGUCGCGUGAAAGGAAGAAGGAUCUAUGGUUCGUAAACUUCUUUUGCAGGGGAAUAAAGUGCAGGACGUGUCCUGUUUUGUAUGUACCCUGAGAAUAAGGAUCGGCUAACUCCGUGCCAGCCGCUGC
This 508-nucleotide ribosomal RNA is filed under the name uncultured bacterium. Its description in RNAcentral is "bacterial SSU rRNA". It matches the Rfam family "Bacterial small subunit ribosomal RNA", at positions 17 to 518 of the family's 1533-position model. The record is from RNAcentral.